Long non-coding RNA from Sceloporus undulatus (fence lizard), 4246 nucleotides. RefSeq lists it as uncharacterized. NCBI's taxonomy places the organism in Eukaryota, Metazoa, Chordata, Lepidosauria, Squamata, Phrynosomatidae. The transcript has 4 exons. The record is from RefSeq and is a predicted model, not a curated record.
AGGGUUGGUAAGACCCAGAUGAGGACCUGAAGCAGAAACUGCUGCACAGGCUGCAAAUAACCUGAAUAAAAACACAACCAAAGAAGAAAGUGCUUGGCUCUUCAGAAUAUGGUAUGGUUUUGACCAUAAAUAUUUAAAGCCCAUUCUCACCCAUACUGGGCCGCCACUUACGACAACCUUACCAAGCUGGUGUAAUCCUGUGGCCAAAUUGCUAACUAGUCCUAGAGCAUAUGUGGAGCAACUGAAGGAUGAUGAUGCUGAUUUUAUUGUCAGUAAUGAUGAACUGACUCAGAAUUAUGUAGCCUCAGAUCUUUCACCCAUGCCACCACAAAGCAAAACAGAUCUCCCCCAUGCUGGAAGCAAAGAAAAUAUAUAUGAAGGAGAUCUUGGCUUAGGAGGGUAUGAACUCCAAUCUGAACCUGCUCCAAGCCAAUCCCAGUUGGUUCCUCACGCUGUAGUCCGGUAAAAAUGUAUAUCAUAAGCAUGAGGAAGAGCAUGCAGAGUUAGCAAGAAGCUUGAAAAUGUAUUAAGGGCAUCAACUGAAAAGAAGUGAAACCUUACUGAAUCUAUCCCUGGAGCCUGAAGGAAUGAGAAUUUAUUACCAUCCCAUAUAUAUAAUACAGUUACAUUUAAUUUUUUCUGACAGUGGCAAUUUUUAAUAAUGGAAUCAAAGGCACUAUCCCUCUGCUUCUGGGACAUUAUAUAUGCACUUCUCUGAUCAUGCUUCAUCGUCUGCAUUUCUAUCUCACAUACAUACAAAGGCCUUUGUAUAUUAUUCUUCUAAUUAAUUCAAGAGAGAGGGAAGGAUGGGAAUUUAGUGAACUUGUACAUGCUCCAAAGAUCACAGACACUGUGACACUGUUCUCCUCUUGCCAUCACGCCUUCUUAUGGGGCAAAGUGGACAGGGCUUUUGGACAAGAUUACUUUUCUCAUUGUCUAGUUGCAAAGCUUCCCAAGCCUUUCUGGCAGUGGCAGUUUGCCAGGAAAGGGGUUAAUAAUGCAGCACAUAAAACUGGGCAUUGAUAUACAAGCUACUAAAGUCUAAACAGAUCAAUAACAGGAGUGUUCUUGUUGUUGGUGGUGGUGUUUUUACUGAGCAAGGUUGCCAGUAUAGAUAGCAAUUAUGCUUUCUUCCCCAACCCAUUUGUUGUUGCUUUUGUGUGUCUUCUGUAAUACAUUAAUAACCCAAAGUCUAUGUAUUAGCUAGAAGAAAUCAUUUAUCAGAUUCCCUGAUGAAAUCCAGGGUGAGAAGGAGACUUAAUGAACAUAUCUAUAAGAUUUUUAAAAAUGUGUGCAAAAACAUUUUUUAUAUUAUAGAGUUUUAAAUCAUGCAGUAAGAAAUAAGUCCUAGACACAUGGCCACUCCGCAGAUAGUAUGGAAUAAAAGUCAUCUAUCAUGGACUUCAUUAUUGCUCAAAUCCAUGUGCUAGUGAAGUUUGUGAUGGUGCUCCAAAGAAUUUUAUUGACCUACUUGCUUAUUGCACAAUACAAUAGGGAUGCAGAAGAGGUGUUGGAAAGUACUAUCAUGGACUUGUUAAAUAAAUGUUGUGGGGGGAAACUACUGGAUGGUAGUUAAGAGGUUCAGACUGGACAUCUGUUUCCAGACUGUUUCUUGCAGUCUUUUUCACAGUCACAGCAAGUGCUUUCUACAGAAUCUAUUAUUCCAUCUAAUUCAGCACUAACUGGUGAUGGCUUUUCCAUGUUUUAGAUCUGCCUAAAGGUGGCAGGGAUUGAACCUCACACCUUCAGUAUGCAUUACAUCUGUUCUACUACUAAGAUAUGGAGCCCCACUAACUAUGCCACACAUCAUAUUUUCCACUUAAGAAGAGCAUGGGUUCCUGGCAGCUGUACAGCCAGACAUAUCAGGAACUGAUGCCCAGGGAGAGAGGUCAUCCAGAUGACAGAACUAUGAAACUGUGACACAGUUUUUCACUUCUCUAUGGGUGCUGUUGUUCACCAUGUGUUCCAUUUGUUUGCUAUUUAUUCCAAUUUUAGAAAAACAUCUACUAGUGUUUGUCUCCUCUGGAUAUGUCAUUUUAUUGCCAACCUGGUUGUUCUCACUAUAUUCUUCUCCUCCACUGCCAUAUAUAACCAGUCAUACCUUAUUUCAUAUCCAUAUUUUUACUCUGUUAUAUUAUUUUAGCUUAUAUAGCAUAUGUAUACAAUUUCUCCAAAAAUUACCUUUUGUACUGGGUGAGUGGACAGAAACAGAGGAAAUUAAGAAGUUCCAGUCAUGCUCCACCUACUGGUAGGGAUCAGAAAGCUGUCAGUUUCCCUUUUUCUCAUUAGUUCUUUCUCUGUUCAGUCUGAAGAAAUUUAAUAAAUUUGGGUUGCUGGGCUUUUUUAAAAAGAAAUAUAAAAUUAUCCACAUUUGCAUUAGCCAUGUUCAACAGGUACAGCUAUUCCCAGUAUAAAAAAAGACUACAUUGUACCCAUCUAUUAAUUGCUAUUGUGUAUCAUCAAGUCAUUUCCAAUUGAUGAGGGGUUUUCUGGCAAAGAUUUGUUCAGAGAGGAUUUGCCAUUGCCUUCCUCUGAGAUUGAGAGGGUGUGAGCCCAUGGCAGAACAGGGAUUUGAACACUGGUCUCCAGAGCCAUCAUCCAACAUUCAAACCAUUGCGCCAUGCUAGCUCUUAUACUUACCUGUACAUAAGUAUUAAAGAUGGGAGAUGAUCUCUUAGGAAAAAGAGGUACUAACAUAGAGGUUAAAAUCUGAAUCUUUAAUUAUUAAGCAUUCAAAACCUUGAGUGUGGAUGAACAAAAAGGGGGUGGAAAUGCACAGUUUGGUAUACUCUUACAAAAACCAACUGAAAUAUUGGCUACCUUUCUACUUGGGACUUACAUCUUCAUAAUUGGCGUAAACAUGUAUGCAAAACUGAAUUGAAUGGUUUUGCAAUAUCCAUAUUCACAUAGAUGAUGUUGUGAUAUUAUAAUGCACAGGCAUCUGUUACAUAACAGAGUGACUAAUACACCAUGGCCCGAUGUGCAAUGCACACUGAUGCAUCCCAGGGCACACUCCAGUGUGCGUGUGGAUACUGAUUAGAAAGUGCCAGAGCACAGCAGGAGCACCUAAUACCCAUUGCAGCAUUGUUGCCAGUGUCUGGAUGAGCAUCUUCACAAUUCACUAACAGGGUUUUGUUAGAUUUCUGAAACAUAACUACAGAGUCAUAAAGUUACAAAAGAAAGAGUGUGAUGCAGAAUCUUGUCCAAAAAUUUAUCCACCCAUAUCUAUAGGUAAUAGUCCUCCUCCUUCCAAUUUAUGUACAUUUUGUGAAGUCGAAGGCUUUCAUGGCCGGCAUCCAUGUUUUGUUUUGUUUUUGUGGGUUUUUCAGGCUAUGUAGCCAUGUUGUAGAAAAUUUUCUUCUUGACGUUUCGCCAGCAUCUGUGGCUGGCAUCUUCAUGUACAUUUUGUACGUUUUGAUGGUAACUAUUUUCAGUACAAAUAGUUUGCAUAGGUUAGCUCCUGAUGUUGUCUCAAAUACAUGUCCAAGUAGCUGGCCUACCUGCAUGACAACCCUCUUAUUCUCUGACACAUAUCUGGAAACACAAAAAUUGACACCAGUUCAACAGGUUUAUUUGUGUAGUGGUUGUUUUGUGUUUUCCCAUUUACAUUUAUAAACCACCCUGAGGGUGCACUAUAUUUUAAGGUUAAAUAAUUAAGUACAUUAUCUGUCCCAUGGAAAAGAGACCUCGUGUGCUUUCUCAUGGUAUCACUACAUUUUUCUGCGCAUGAACUAUGCAUGCCACUCCAGUAUGAAAAUCUGUACAUUACUAGUGCACUUCAGGCGAGACAAAUGGCCACACCCCAGCAUCCCCAAAGAUAGUCCAUGCAGAUCUUUAGUAACAUGGGGACACAACCUAACACUAGAAAAUCAGUACACUUAAUAAAAGCUAACUCGAUGAUUAGUGUUUCUUUUCCUCAACUCAGGUAUGCAGCCUCCAAUUGCUUGAUGCAUAAUUAUGAAGUAGUUAUUUCUUCAUAAUUUAAGUCAUAAGGAGGUGGAUUUUAUUAAACAGAAAGCUUAUGAAACUCAUAACCUUAGACAACAUCUGAAAUCACUAUGAAUAAAUGUCAAGCCAUCUUGAUGAAACUGUGAAUGAUUGUAAAGUAAAAUGUAUUUUGUUCCCAUGACAUGUUGAAAUAGCUACAGAAUAUAGUCAAGUUUUAAUCUUGUUUUUCCAAGUAUAAUUAACUGAAUGUACUACUGCAGCAACUGUUUCAAGUAUAAAAUGAAAACAAGAACCCCAA